This is a long non-coding RNA of Gadus chalcogrammus (walleye pollock), 1599 nucleotides long. RefSeq lists it as uncharacterized. The record is from RefSeq and is a predicted model, not a curated record. Lineage: Eukaryota; Metazoa; Chordata; Actinopteri; Gadiformes; Gadidae. The transcript is spliced from 3 exons.
AGUUGUUGUGGGAUGUACAUGGUAGUUUGGUUCUUCGUAUGGUUUUGAGUGAUAUAACUUGUACACACUGGGUGCAUAAUAAUGUAAAGGUACACUGAAUAGUAUUAAUGACCAACAGCAACAAACAGAUCUCCUCAAGGUAAGUCUGUUGGCUGUGUUUUGAUGAAGACCAUCGCUAGACUUCAGGAUCUUCCUCCGUUCAGCUCAAGGUGAGGCACUGGUUCUGUUUUUUCUUUGGUUGGUUCCGGCCGGAAUGUUCGGAUUCCAGUCGGACGGUUUGUGCUUCCCGCCGUGGAAGGUUCUGAGUGCGGUCACUUGAUUUAGUACCAAUGGUUUGCAUAGAACGUUGUAGUCUUGACAACCAUAAGAAACCACCUGGCAGUUAGUUGGACGGGAGUCCCCUGAGGGAAUGUGGCGGAACGUUCUGGAUUGUAUUUGCGUAACCUCGAGCCGUUGCCAACGGGAAAAAAAAAUUCAGUCGGUUUCCAUUGGGAAUUGUUGCCCCCUAUCUUAAAUGACGAAAGUUUGAUAUUAAAUACAUACUAGCACGUACGUCGUACAAUAUGUUGAUAAUUUCCGAUGGUUGCGCCGUACUUUUAACCACAAUGACGUUGCGGGACUCUCACUGCGUACAAAACAGCGUUCUACUUGCGGGCCCAUCAGGGAAGGCUUAAAAACAUUUCAAGGUGGAAGAUAAUUUGAAAUUUCUUCAACGGAACCCAGCACCUGAAUAUGGCUGAGUAUAUUCGAUUUAAUAUCAAUACUGCUUAGUGUUCUUUGUUACUUCAGCUUUUGUACGUUCUAAAUAUCUGCUGUCAUUAAUUGCCACAGAAGUUAAACCCUACCAAUGGAAUGAAGUUAAACAACGACUUUGGUGCAGAGCUAACAACUGGAUAAUAUAAAAGCUAAAAUAAUGGCCGUCAUUCCCACAUGUUACAGUAGAAGAUACUCUACAACUGUACAAGGUUAAAAAGGUAACAUGUAGUUUGUCCCAAGGUGUCUGCCUCCUCACCCAGAGCAAGACCUCCACCUCCUCACCCAGAGCCAGACCUCCACCUCCUCACCCAGAGCCAGACCUCCACCUCCUCACCCAGAGCCAGACCUCCACCUCCUCACCCAGAGCCAGACCUCCACCUCCUCACCCAGAGCCAGACCUCCACCUCCUCACCCAGAGCCAGACCUCCACCUCCUCACCCAGAGCAAGACCUCCACCUCCUCACCCAGAGCCAGACCUCCACCUCCUCACCCAGAGCCAGACCUCCACCUCCUGUCAGAAGUCCUCCAGAACAGCUGAAAGGCGAGGCUGGGGACCGGAGGCUUGUUGUGCCAGGGUGGACCGGAGACUGAGGCUGGAGACCAGAGGCUGUGAGUAAGUGAAGGAGCUGAUGGAGGAGUCGUGCUGAAGGAGCUGAUAGAGGAGCCGUGCUGAAGGCCCAGGGCUGGUGGAGGAGCUUGUGGAGGGCCUGCCUGGUGAAUGACGUCUGUCGUGGGGUAGAUGGAGCUUGACUCUGAAGUGAUCAUCACACUCACUGCCACUUCUCGUAGAAUACUGCUAUAUACCAGACGACUGCAUCUGUUUUACCACAUGUUGAAGCAAGA